Pelobates cultripes (western spadefoot toad) is the source of this 1056-nucleotide non-coding RNA. NCBI's taxonomy places the organism in Eukaryota, Metazoa, Chordata, Amphibia, Anura, Pelobatidae. The record is from the annotation of a GenBank genome assembly.
UGGAGAGGAACACUAAGAGGAGGAGGAGACCACUAACUGACAGGAGGGGAGAGCACUAUGAAAAAAUAAAGAGCUGCUCCCCUCUCAGCCCCUAUCCUACCCCACAAGCCCUCUAUUACAUACACACACACACACAGAAACAUACAAUACAUCUCUACUCACACACAGACACACCGAAAUAUACAAUGUAUCCCUUACAUGCACACACUGCUUCUCUUACACACACAUAAACAAAAUACAUCUCUUACAUACACUCAAUGCACCCCUUGCAGACACACACUGCAUUACAUACACAGAAACACACCUUGCAUCUCUUACACACACACACACAGAGAAACACACAAUGUAUCUCCUAUACACACACUACACCCCUUACACAAAUUGAAAUCCCUAUACACUACAUUCCAUAAGAACACACACACAUUACAUCCUCUACAAUAACACAUCCCCAACACUCCAUUCCCUGUGAGCGAACUCCUGUGUGGGCCAUGUAGGUGGACUUAUGGGCGGGCCUUGUAGGCAUUCUCACGGUCAGGCCCUGGGGGCACAGACCUUGAGCUGUGUAAGGGGCCCAAAAAAUAUGGAGAUGCUUCAUGUUCGUUGAUUUUUGUGAGCCCGGUUACAAACAGUCUCCAGAGAGCCUGUUUUAACACCAGACCAGUGGAGCCAGACUGCAGCCUGAGCCCAUCAUCAUCCUCUUGUCCUCUUCUGGUGGUAAGUAGGCAAUCCAGUAUAUUAUUAGUAGCACUAGUCUCUAAUUUACCUUACAUUAAACGGACACUAUAGUCACAGCUUAAUGAAGUGGUUUUGGUGUAUAUAGCCUGUCCUUGCAGGCUUUUUAAUGUAAAUACACUGCCUUCUCAUAUAAAAAGACACUGUGUGCAGCACUGGCGUUGGCCCAUAUGGCAGAUCAUAUGGGCAGGGCAUUGUGAUGUCACAUGAUGGGCAGGACAUAUGGGGGGGGGGCGGCAAAUUUUUGUUUGCCUAGGGCGGCAAAAAUCCUUUCUCCGGCCCUGUGUCCACAUGGUUUGGUAGCACUUAAUGGAGAACACUGAG